Molecule: RNA transcript, 2282 nt
Organism: Alosa sapidissima (American shad)
Lineage: Eukaryota; Metazoa; Chordata; Actinopteri; Clupeiformes; Clupeidae
Gene name: lipoxygenase homology domain-containing protein 1
Exons: 10
Source: RefSeq, a predicted model, not a curated record
CAUGAUGGAGCAACUCCCGAGAGUUGCUGGAUGGUGCAUGAGUUGUCAGUUGCCGUGCCAACGAAAGGAAUGAAGUUUGUGUUCCAGUGUAAGUGCUGGUUGGCCAAAGACCGUGGUGACGGUCUCACUACCCGUGUGCUCCACAUCAUGGAUGCUGUUGUCAUCUCCAUUGCACAAAAGAUCAUCUAUGAGGUAACUGUGGUUACAGGUGAUGUGCAGAAUGCAGGAACAGACACACAAAUUUACUUGACUAUAUUUGGGGCCAACGGAAGCUCAGAUGAGAAGUUGCUGCCAAAGAAUGAAGACAGAUUUGAGCGUGGACAGGAGGACACGUUCACUCUCGAGGUUGAAGACAUUGCACCGCUGAAAAAGAUGCGGGUCCGAGUUGACGCCUCUGGCAGCCGACCCGACUGGUUCCUGGAAAGGGUUGCCCUGCGUAACGUACAAACUGAUGAAGUGGCAGAGUUUACGUACUCUGAGUGGCUGUCGACCACCCUUGGCACCAAAAAGACAUUGAGCGCUGAGAUGCCUGCUGUCAUAGACGAGGAAGAAAUGAUGGAGCUGACCAACUACAUUGUAAAUGUCAAGACAGGCGAAGCCAUGGGUGCAGGGACAGAUGCCAAUGUGUGGUUAAUGAUCUUCGGUGAGAAUGGGGACACGGGACCGCUGGCACUCAAACACUCCAACAACAAUAACAAGUUUGAACGCAAACAGAUGGACACCUUCAGAUUCCCAGACAUGCUCAGCUUGGGCGACCUGUCCAAAGUUCGGCUAUGGCACGACAAUGCAGGCCCAGCUGCUGGUUGGUAUGUUGACUACGUGGAUGUACGAGAUGACGUCCUGGAUCAAACUUUCCGUUUCCCAUGCAAAAGGUGGCUUGCCAAGAAUGAGGAUGAUGGACAGCUGAUACGAGAGCUGGGCUGUGCCAACAACGACAUUCUGGACCUCAAUGAGAAAACCAAGUAUGAAAUCAUUACAGUAACCGCAGAUACAGAUGAGGCAGAGACGCGAGAGAAUGUGUGGAUGAUCUUGGAGGGAAGGAAGGGACGUUCCAAAGAGCUUGUUCUAGAAAAUUCAGGGAAGAAAAGGCGAUUCCUACGUGGGAGCACAGACAGAUUUGAGUUCUCCUCUAAGGUUGUGGGUGACAUUGCGGGUAUCUGUGUUGGCCACAUACCCAAAGAUGGGAAGAAGCCCAAAAUUGAAGCCUCUUGGCAUGUGUUAGAAGUCACUGUCAGAGAGAAAGAGCUCGGAAACAAGUACAUAUUCAACUGUAACGCUCAGAUUCCCCUCUCCUCCAAACGUGACGACCCUGUGACGUUCGAGUGCAGCAAGAUCGUGGAGAGCUUUGCCUCCAAGGCCCGCAGCCUGCGCCCAGUCAGGUACGAGAUCAUCGUGGUCACGGGUGAUGAGAAAGGGGCAGGCACCGAUGCCAACGUCUUCAUCACACUCUUUGGCACAAACGGGGAUUCGGGCCGACGGGCCUUGCGGCAGCGCCUGCGAAACUUGUUUGAGCGCAACCGGACCGAGCGCUUCACGAUGGAGAUGCUGGACAUGGGCGAUCUGACGCACGUGAUCGUGGAGCACGACAGCAAGGGCUUCAACCCUAGCUGGCUGCUGGAGCGUGUGGAGGUCACCAACACCGCCAACGGAGUCACCACCAUCUUCCUGUGUGGGAAGUGGUUGGACAAGAAUCGGGCAGACGGACAGACGCGCCGCGUGAUCUACCCCAAAUACUGAUGUACUGUAGGCUUACCCAUGUACUGUGACUCGGAAUUUGACAAUAGGAGCACUGGCAGACACAAAUGUCAGCUCAGGACUUCCACACUAGUCCACACUGGAGUUUGGAGUUGAUAAAACAAAUAAAAAAAAAGAAAGAAAGAAAAAAGAAGAUAAAUCUGAAUUGAGCAUGUAAACAUAUAGUCAGCAUCAUGUUUUCUCUCUAGAGGAGUUACCCCUGAUGAAAUCGACUCAGUGGAGACCUCUGUGAAUCCUCUAAGGCAGCACUGUGUCACUGCCUUCACUACUACAUAACUCAGGCACAUGCAGAUACCACAAUCUCCCUGACCUAUGAACCCUACUGAGGUGAGGGUUACCAGACCUUGCCAGAUAUGACCUAGCAGUGCCAGGCAAAGCAGACAGACACAGCAGUUCCAAUCUGAUGUGCGUGGAGAGAAAUUGAGGCCCGUGAUUAACUGAAUGUUGUGACAACAUGUCUGCAUGAAAGGGUGUGGAGGAAUAAAGGUGUGACCCAUGUUUACCUGGGGUCAUUUAAUUACAUUAAA